This 256-nucleotide ribosomal RNA is filed under the name uncultured bacterium. RNAcentral describes it as "partial 16S ribosomal RNA". It matches the Rfam family "Bacterial small subunit ribosomal RNA", at positions 524 to 776 of the family's 1533-position model. The record is from RNAcentral.
UACGAAGGGGGCUAGCGUUGCUCGGAAUGACUGGGCGUAAAGGGCGCGUAGGCGGUUUGCACAGUCGGGCGUGAAAUUCCAGGGCUCAACCUUGGGGCUGCGUUCGAGACGUGUGGGCUAGAGUGUGGAAGAGGGUCGUGGAAUUCCCAGUGUAGAGGUGAAAUUCGUAGAUAUUGGGAAGAACACCGGUGGCGAAGGCGGCGACCUGGUCCAUUUACUGACGCUGAGGCGCGAAAAGCGUGGGGGAGCAAACAGG